This 74-nucleotide transfer RNA is filed under the name Olpidium bornovanus. It matches the Rfam family "tRNA". From Rfam's summary of the family: Transfer RNA (tRNA) molecules are approximately 80 nucleotides in length. Their secondary structure includes four short double-helical elements and three loops (D, anti-codon, and T loops). The record is from Rfam by way of RNAcentral. Lineage: Eukaryota; Fungi; Olpidiomycota; Olpidiomycetes; Olpidiales; Olpidiaceae.
GGGCGUUUAGCUCAGUUGGACAGAGCAUCUGGCUACGAACCAGGGGGGCGGAGGUUCAAGUCCUCCAUCGCUCA